CCUACGGGAGGCAGCAGUGAGGAAUAUUGGUCAAUGGACGAGCGUCUGAACCAGCCAAGUAGCGUGAAGGAUGACUGCCCUAUGGGUUGUAAACUUCUUUUGUCUGGGAAUAAAAUGUUCCACGUGUGGGAGUUUGUAUGUACCAUAUGAAUAAGGAUCGGCUAACUUCGGUCCAGCAGCCGCGGUAAUACGGAGGAUCCGAGGGUUAUCCGGAUUUAUUGGGUUUAAAGGGGGCGUAGGUCGAUUGGUCAGUCGAUUGUGAAAGUUUGUGGCUCAACCGUAAAAUUGCAGUUGAAACUGGCAUUCUUGAGUACAGUAGAGGUAGGCGGAAUGCGUGGUGUAGCGGUGAAAUGCUUAGAUAUCACGAAGAACUCCGAUUGCGAAGGCAGCACACUGGACUGCAACUGACACUGAGGCUCGAAAGUGUGGGUAUCGAACAGGAUUAGAUACCCGAGUAGUC
RNAcentral lists this ribosomal RNA (460 nucleotides) under uncultured bacterium. Its description in RNAcentral is "partial 16S ribosomal RNA". It matches the Rfam family "Bacterial small subunit ribosomal RNA", at positions 338 to 795 of the family's 1533-position model. The record is from RNAcentral.